UUCAAUGUACUUUAUUUUAUGUUUUGAACACUUUUUUUUCCCUAAGGAGUCCAUAGAUUUCAUGACACUUCCAAAGUCAAUGAACACAAAAAGAAAGUGACUAAGUCUUUUUCUAAUCUAACUUCAUUUUAUGGAAGAGGAAACUAAAGCAACCCAAAGAGAUCCUGCUAAUUCUCCUUGAGUGAGAAUGAAGAACUAGGUCCUUCAGAGGAUUUUCAGAUACUGAAAGAGAAGCCUGGAGGCAGAGUUUGGGGAGGGUGAGAGAGUAAUCUAUAAUAGGAAGAAAAGGAGGAGAAGGAGAAAGAGGAG
Molecule: long non-coding RNA, 309 nt
Organism: Sarcophilus harrisii (Tasmanian devil)
Lineage: Eukaryota; Metazoa; Chordata; Mammalia; Dasyuromorphia; Dasyuridae
Exons: 3
Source: RefSeq, a predicted model, not a curated record